This 347-nucleotide long non-coding RNA is filed under the name Mytilus galloprovincialis (Mediterranean mussel). Lineage: Eukaryota; Metazoa; Mollusca; Bivalvia; Mytilida; Mytilidae. The record is from RNAcentral.
UUACCUUCAUUUCAGGUAGAAAGACUUGGGACCAUAAUUUGUCCAUUCCCGAUAUAGCUCUUAAUUGGACAAUAGCUCUGUAUGAUCCACGUGACGUCUCAUCUGUCAAAAGUGUAAUAGAAUUUGGUUGAUAAGAUUCCCAUCUCUUUCCGUCAAAAUUAAAACUACAAAAUGAGGGUUUGGGAUCUUUAUCCAACAAGGACGUGUUGCAAUAUGGCUGGCUUCCUCCUACAAACUGGUGUUUGAAACUAUAUAGCUCUACUGCUAAAGGACAUGUUUGGGAAUUUUUACAUGCGAUUGGAACAGUUGAUUUUAUUUCAAUAGUGACAUGUUUUUUCUCGUUUAAG